RNAcentral lists this small RNA (1862 nucleotides) under Olea europaea subsp. europaea. The record is from RNAcentral. Lineage: Eukaryota; Viridiplantae; Streptophyta; Magnoliopsida; Lamiales; Oleaceae.
AAACCCGAUUUUGAAGAUUUCAAUUACAAUUUCACCAAUGUUUCAAAUGGUGCGGAGGAUUACUUCAACUACACAGAUAAUUCUGGAUGGCGGCUGAGUUAUAACGGGACUAUAUUUGACAUUUAUAGAGGGACAAUGAUAGCAAAAGUGAGUUUUUGUCAUGGUUACAACAUUUACAAAGGCUGUGAAUCAUGGGAGCAGCCCAUUUGUACAAAUCAUAACGAGACAUUUGUUUUGAAAUCAGGGAAUUUCGGUAACAGUAAUGGGAGCCUGCCAUAUGAUUAUAGCGAUAAUAAUUCAAGUCUUACUGAGAGUGACUGCGGAGCAAACUACUGGAAGGACUGUGAAUGUGUAGGCUAUAGAGGUGAAGAUGGAUCUGGAUGUUUAUACUGGAAAGGGAAAAUUUUGACUUUUGAACAGAGUCUUGAUGGUUCUGCACCUAAACAAUUCGUUCUUGUUUUAGAGCCUUCGACCAAAAGUAAGUUCAUAUCACCAAAUCAAGAAUUUUUCAACAUAUCCACCCAUUACCUUACCUCAAUUCCUCUGUUUGGGGUUCAGAAUCUCCCCCCCCCCAACCCCACACUUUUUUUUUAAAUAAACAUCUUUUUAUUGAGUUUUGAUUUUUUGCAAAAGAAAUUUCUUCUGACUAAAUAUGUUGAAGAUAUAUAAAGCAAUAUGCAGGUCAAUAAAUGUAUUUCCCUUUUCCUCUAUUUUUGACGUCCGAUAGAACUGCUGGAAAGACUUUGAAUGUGCAGGCUUUAUCGAUAGAUAUGACCAUAGUUGUUUAUACUAGAAAGAGAAAAAUUUUACUUUUGUACAGAGUUUUGAUGGUUCUGCACCUAAACAAUUAUUUCUUGUUUCAGUGUCUUCAAACAAGACAGAGCUCCCAACCAAAAGUAAGUUCAUAUCACCAAAUCAAGAAUUUUUCAACAUAUGCACACAUUCCCUUAAUUCAAUUCCUCUGUUUGGGUUCAAAAUCCUUGUUUUCUAAAAAUAAAUUUGAAGAUAUAUAAAGCGAUUUGUGGGUCAAUAGAUGUUCUGCCCUUUUCCUCUAUUCUUUACAUCCCAUAGAAGCAUUUCUCUCUCAGCAAUGUGUUUACUAUCAUCAAAUGAUAAAUAACAGGAUGGAAGUCGUGGAAAAUCAUUACUUUGGUUAUUUCGGUAGUUGCACUUUUGUUGGGCUGUGUAUGGUUCAUCAUCCGAAAAAUUGAACAAGGUAUCUUUCUGAUCACUUGUAGCUUUGAAAAACCUUCUUCGUAUUCCAUACAAAUAAAAUACCGAUAACAAAAAUUGACAAGCUGGAGAAGAAAAGAUUGUAAAGAAAGCUCUAUGUGUUUCUUAUUUGAUGUUAUGUUGAUAUUUUUUUUCAUACAAUUUCACUUCAACAGAAUGAUUGGAAAUAUGAUUACAAAAUACAGUAAGAUUCAUUUCAAGAGUUAUAGUUACACUGUCAUUUUUUAUGUGGUGAGUAUUGCAAUUGUUAUAAUAUGUCGCUCAUAUAGAAUAGAACACAUAUGUAUUGGAAUCGAUAGGGUCACGUUGGAGCAUAGCAGAGUGAAGUGAGGAGAGUGGAUAUAUAACAAGUGGAAGUGUUAAAACAAUAUCUCUACAUGGUGCGUUUUGUAAAUAUCAUUGAGAAUUUUAAUAUCUCCAUUGCUUGCUUAUUUUGAUAUUUCUAGUUUUUCUAAUUCUAAUUCUCCUAAUGAUAUUCAUUGGCAUUCUUAUGUUGACACUUUGGAUGUUCAUCUCAUAGGCAAAAGGAAGAAGGAAGAAUUACAUGAACUGAUGACCCUAGAUGAAUAUAGUGAAACACGUGCUGUUGAAAGUAAUAGGGGACAGGGUCAUCAUCUUAGAUUGUUUAU